GCGCACCUUUCACAGCAUAGAUCUAUUAAAUAGAUAAGAAAAACAAAGUCCAGACUUGGUGUUAUUGUUAAACUUUCGUCAUAAGAAGCUUCUGUUUUCUUCAUUUCAUUUCUUUAGGGUUAAAAAACUAUUCAGCAACCCAGAGGUUGUUAUUAUUUUUUCAUUGUUUAUAAUUUUAGUUAAAAUAUUAUAUUAUCUCCCAACAUGUUUGUCACUUUCUGCUUACCAAGCUUCGAACUACGUGAACUUUGAAUAUCUUUUUUUAUGUUUAUUAUUUGAUAACAGAAAUCUGCGAGGGUUAUUGGUGUGCAAUAAGAGAUAACUGACGAAAGACGUGAAGGAAGUAUAUCAAAACUCAAAAGUACAAACUCUAGCAUCCCCAUAUAUUUCAUGUUGUUGCAGACACCUGGUGAAGUGACAGAAAGGUUAAAAUGACCAGGUAAAUUUUCUAUGCAAUACAUCAGAUGAAAUUAGAAAGUUUCACUUAGUGAAUUGGAGAAUUGUCACCAUCUUCGAAGGAAUGGGGACGAUUCGGUGUGAAAGCUCUGCUCUUCAAUAAGCAUAGUUCAGGAAGUGGUUAUGGAGGAUUGGGGUGGAGGUGAAAAUAUGUUGUGGAGGGGUGCGAUGGCGAAAAAUUAUGACAUUAUGGAAGGUAGGUGGAGGCU
This 665-nucleotide long non-coding RNA is filed under the name Capsicum annuum. RNAcentral's name for it is "long non-coding RNA (CANN_LNC013959)". The record is from RNAcentral. Lineage: Eukaryota; Viridiplantae; Streptophyta; Magnoliopsida; Solanales; Solanaceae.